This 90-nucleotide transfer RNA is filed under the name Methanosarcinales archaeon. RNAcentral's name for it is "tRNA-Ser". It matches the Rfam family "tRNA". Rfam says of the family: Transfer RNA (tRNA) molecules are approximately 80 nucleotides in length. Their secondary structure includes four short double-helical elements and three loops (D, anti-codon, and T loops). Further hydrogen bonds mediate the characteristic L-shaped molecular structure. tRNAs have two regions of fundamental functional importance: the anti-codon, which is responsible for specific mRNA codon recognition, and the 3' end, to which the tRNAs corresponding amino acid is attached (by aminoacyl-tRNA synthetases). tRNAs cope with the degeneracy of the genetic code in two manners: having more than one tRNA (with a specific anti-codon) for a particular amino acid; and 'wobble' base-pairing, i.e. permitting non-standard base-pairing at the 3rd anti-codon position. RNAcentral also lists the same sequence under 1 other name. Lineage: Archaea; Methanobacteriati; Methanobacteriota; Methanomicrobia; Methanosarcinales. The record is from RNAcentral.
UGACGAGAUAGCCAAGCCCGGUAUGGCGCAGGGUUGCUAACCCUGUGUUCCGCAAGGAGCUCGGGGGUUCAAGUCCCCCUCUCGUCGUCC